RNAcentral lists this unclassified non-coding RNA (322 nucleotides) under uncultured Fusarium. RNAcentral describes it as "sequence contains ITS1". The stretch from base 1 to 105 matches the Rfam family "5.8S ribosomal RNA", at positions 50 to 154 of the family's 154-position model. The record is from RNAcentral. Lineage: Eukaryota; Fungi; Ascomycota; Sordariomycetes; Hypocreales; Nectriaceae.
GAAAUGCGAUAAGUAAUGUGAAUUGCAGAAUUCAGUGAAUCAUCGAAUCUUUGAACGCACAUUGCGCCCGCCAGUAUUCUGGCGGGCAUGCCUGUUCGAGCGUCAUUUCAACCCUCAAGCCCCCGGGUUUGGUGUUGGGGAUCGGCACAACGGCCUCGCCAGAGGACGCGCCGGCCCCUAAAUCUAGUGGCGGUCUCGCUGCAGCCUCCAUUGCGUAGUAGCUAACACCUCGCAACUGGAACGCGGCGCGGCCAAGCCGUUAAACCCCCAACUUUUUCUGAAUGUUGACCUCGGAUCAGGUAGGAAUACCCGCUGAACUUAA